GAGACUCUGUGCGCGUGCAUUAUCAAUAAGCGGAGGAAAAGAAACUAACUAAGGAUUCCCUCAGUAACGGCGAGUGAAGCGGGAAGAGCUCAAAUUUGAAAUCUUCAAGGUUUUACCUUGACGAAUUGUAGUUUAAAGAAGUGUUUUCUGUUGGAGUUUUGGUAAAAGUUCUUUGGAAUAGGACAUCAUAGAGGGUGAGAAUCCCGUAUUUGACCAGUUACUUUCCAGCUGUGUGAUACACUUUCAAAGAGUCGGAUUGUUUGGGAAUGCAGUCCAAAAUGGGUGGUAAAUUUCAUCUAAAGCUAAAUAUUGGCGAGAGACCGAUAGCGAACAAGUACCGUGAGGGAAAGAUGAAAAGAACUUUGAAAAGAGAGUUAAACAGUACGUGAAAUUGUCAAAAGGGAAGCGUUUGACACCAGUGUUGUUUUUCCGAAAAUCAAUUAUGAAUGCUUUAUUUUGAAGUUCAUGACCUUAAUAGGCUUGUUUCUUAUUUUCAUGUAACUUUCUUAAUGCACUUUUCGGUUAACAAGUCAACAUCAAUUUCUUUUGUUGUAAAAGGGUUAUGAGGAAGGUGGCUUUACUUUCGAGUAAAGUGUUUAUAGCCUUGUAACUCUGCAAUCGGAGAGAUUGAGGUCUGCAGCGUAGAUCCUUCGGGGUUAGAUACAUUUGUGCUAAGUUAUAGCUUUUCAUAGACAACUUGUUGACUAUGUUAGUCUUGUAGCUUACUCGCUUAUGCUAUUUUACCUACGCUUAGGAUGUUGAAGUCAUCGUAUCGCGC
RNAcentral lists this ribosomal RNA (778 nucleotides) under uncultured Neocallimastigales. RNAcentral's name for it is "partial large subunit ribosomal RNA". It matches the Rfam family "Eukaryotic large subunit ribosomal RNA", at positions 23 to 645 of the family's 3401-position model. Lineage: Eukaryota; Fungi; Neocallimastigomycota; Neocallimastigomycetes; Neocallimastigales. The record is from RNAcentral.